This 754-nucleotide ribosomal RNA is filed under the name uncultured Bacteroidales bacterium. RNAcentral's name for it is "bacterial SSU rRNA". It matches the Rfam family "Bacterial small subunit ribosomal RNA", at positions 28 to 776 of the family's 1533-position model. The record is from RNAcentral. Lineage: Bacteria; Pseudomonadati; Bacteroidota; Bacteroidia; Bacteroidales.
GAUGAACGCUAGCUACAGGCUUAACACAUGCAAGUCGAGGGGCAGCAUGACCUAGCAAUAGGUUGAUGGCGACCGGCGCACGGGUGAGUAACACGUAUCCAACCUACCGGUUAUUCCGGGAUAGCCUUUCGAAAGAAAGAUUAAUACCGGAUAGUAUAACGAGAAGGCAUCUUUUUGUUAUUAAAGAAUUUCGAUAACCGAUGGGGAUGCGUUCCAUUAGUUUGUUGGCGGGGUAACGGCCCACCAAGACAUCGAUGGAUAGGGGUUCUGAGAGGAAGGUCCCCCACAUUGGAACUGAGACACGGUCCAAACUCCUACGGGAGGCAGCAGUGAGGAAUAUUGGUCAAUGGACGAGAGUCUGAACCAGCCAAGUAGCGUGAAGGAUGACUGCCCUAUGGGUUGUAAACUUCUUUUAUAUGGGAAUAAAGUGAGCCACGUGUGGCUUUUUGUAUGUACCAUACGAAUAAGGAUCGGCUAACUCCGUGCCAGCAGCCGCGGUAAUACGGAGGAUCCGAGCGUUAUCCGGAUUUAUUGGGUUUAAAGGGAGCGUAGGCGGACUAUUAAGUCAGCUGUGAAAGUUUGCGGCUCAACCGUAAAAUUGCAGUUGAUACUGGUCGUCUUGAGUGCAGUAGAGGUAGGCGGAAUUCGUGGUGUAGCGGUGAAAUGCUUAGAUAUCACGAAGAACUCCGAUUGCGAAGGCAGCUUACUGGACUGUAACUGACGCUGAUGCUCGAAAGUGUGGGUAUCAAACAGG